UACGGAGGGGGCAAGCGGUUGUCGGAAUUACUGGGCGUAAAGGGCGCGUAGGCGGCCAGUUGCGUCGGGCGGGAAAGCCCCGGGCUCAACCUGGGAGGUGCAGUUGAUACGGGCUGGCUGGAAUCCGGGAGAGGAUGGUGGAAUUCCCAGUGUAGAGGUGAAAUUCGUAGAUAUUGGGUAGAACACCGAUGGCGAGGGCAGCCAUCUGGACCUGGAUUGACGCUGAGCCGCGAAAGCCUGGGGAGCAAACAGG
RNAcentral lists this ribosomal RNA (253 nucleotides) under uncultured bacterium. RNAcentral describes it as "partial 16S ribosomal RNA". It matches the Rfam family "Bacterial small subunit ribosomal RNA", at positions 524 to 776 of the family's 1533-position model. The record is from RNAcentral.